Aegilops tauschii subsp. strangulata is the source of this 2232-nucleotide RNA transcript. It is a transcript of the gene named probable protein phosphatase 2C 48, with no coding region annotated. The record is from RefSeq and is a predicted model, not a curated record. NCBI's taxonomy places the organism in Eukaryota, Viridiplantae, Streptophyta, Magnoliopsida, Poales, Poaceae.
CCCAGCCAAACAAGCAUCUUCCAUCGUGUUGCUGCCUCGCACCCUCGGUCUGCAUGUUUCCUUCCUGUAGCUUCCACUGCACGCCCGCCCGCCCGGCUCUUCCAUUCGUUCCCAACCCACCUCGUCUUCCCCAACUCACCUCUCCAGCUCUCCUCUCCUUUAAAAGCUCUUCCGAGCUUUCACCUCACAACACAACACGACCCCCGCUUCUUCCAAUUAAACCUUGCUUGCUCCCCUCCUUAUUGCUUAGUAAGUUAACCUGAUCGACCGAUCCUAUCCAUAUCUCCAGUGAGCCCAAGCUCGAUCGUGUCUUCAAUCCAAAGGAACUCCCGGGAACAAGACAGGCCCGGGAGAAACGAAUCGAUAGGGACUUGUCCUAAGCUAAAGAAACCGCCCGAGAGAGCUCCCUAUCCUAUCCACCCAUCGCCAUGGCGGGUCAGUGCUCUGUCCUUGCCCGUGCGCACCACCAACAGUGUCGUCGGUCACCCAGAAACUAAGAGAGCAAGGGGUGAGAGAAGAAACUCUCGCGCGCAGCAGCCGCCGCCGAACUCUUUUGGUUGUUUCUUUGGGGUAGCGAGAAUGCGGCAGCUCUCGUCGCUGCUGCAGGGGCUGGCCCGAUUGAUGGCUGGAAAAGAGAGGAAGGAGGAGGAUCCGCAGGGGACGGUGCUGCGGAUGUCGGGGACGCUGCGGGGCGAGGGCUCCGGGACCUUGGCCGCCGUGUGGUCUCGCCGCGGCGAGAAGGGCACCAACCAGGACUGCUCCGUCGUCUGGGAGGGAUUCGGAUGCCAGGAUGACACCGUCUUCUGCGGCAUCUUCGACGGCCACGGCCAGUGGGGCCACUACGUCUCCAAGGCCGUCCGGGACUCGCUGCCGUCGUCGCUGUUGUGCCGUUGGCAGGAGGCCGUCGCGCUGGCGUCGCUCAUCGACGGCGAGAAGAAGCUCGGCGACUGCCAGUUCGACCUCUGGAGGCAGUCCUACCUGGCGGCCGCCGCAGCCGUCGACGAAGAGCUCCGCCGCAGCCGCCGUCUCGACGCGGUCAACAGUGGCUCCACGGCGCUGUCGAUCGUCAAGAAGGGUAACAUGAUGGUGAUCGCGAACGUGGGCGACUCCCGAGCCGUCCUGGGGACCACGUCGGACGACGGCAGCAUCGCCGCCGUCCAGCUCACCGUCGACUUCAAACCCAACCUGCCUCAGGAGAAGGCGCGCAUCGUGCAGUGCAAGGGUCGCGUGCACUGCCACGAGGACGAGCCCGGCGUGCACCGGGUGUGGCUGCCCGACCGGGAGGCGCCGGGGCUGGCCAUGUCGCGCGCGUUCGGCGACUACUGCGUCAAGGACUACGGCGUGAUCUCGGCGCCGGAGGUGACGCAGAGGAAGAUCACCGCCCGGGACCAGUUCGUCAUCCUGGCCACCGACGGGGUUUGGGACGUGGUCACCAACGAAGAGGCGGUGCAGAUCGUGGCUGACACGCCGGAGAGGGAGAAGGCGGCGAAGCGCCUGGUCCAGUGCGCCGUCCGCGCCUGGAGGCGCAAGCGGCGGGGCUACGCCGUCGACGACUGCUCGGCGAUCUGCCUCUUCCUCCACCACUCGCCGCUAUCGUAGGCGGACAGCUUCGUCCCCGCAUUGCCGUGUGGACAAGGAAGAGAGAGAGAGACGCCCGUCCUUCUCUUGGUAGAGCGAGUGCAGACGUCGCGAUCAGAGACCGAAAGACCGCUGCAGAUCAUGAGAGCGUGCGGCAGCUCGUCGUGACCGGGACGCAUGGACGGUGGGCGAACGUAACUGCUGCCGGUGGUGGAUGACCGAAAGAUGAGGACGACAUGCUCCGACUGUCACCCCUCGACAGCUGCUGCGAUCUGAACCGUGGACCAGAAAAUAUCUGACCGAGGCAUCCUACAGUGAAUGCUGAAUGCCAUGCCCAUGAUUGAUCGCCCGGGAUCUGGGACCGGAAGGAUAGGUUCAGGAGCAUACUUUUCUAAGUCCAUUUACUGUUGCUGCUAUACAAUCACAACCAACGAGGGGACGAGCGCGAGGCCGCGACCAGAGUAGCCGAGAGAAUGGGACUUGCAGAUGGCUGGACGCCUGGAGGUGCCGCUGUGCUGGUGGCUGGUGUGGUUGUCGUCGCAGCGCCGCCGCCAGCAGCGGCAGCUAGGUCGAUCCUGUUGGUGAACGAGUAGAGGGCUGUGUGCCGUGGGCUCGACUUCGCGUGGCCUGUUGCCUGGGCUGGAGCCUGGAGAU